CCGGCGAGGGGGUGUCGCUCCGGCCGCCCCAGGUGCGGUCGGCCGGCUCGGGGUCGGUGGGCCGGGGCGGCUCCAGGCCGCUCCGGCCGGU
This 91-nucleotide transfer RNA is filed under the name Streptomyces noursei. Its description in RNAcentral is "tRNA-Leu". Lineage: Bacteria; Bacillati; Actinomycetota; Actinomycetes; Kitasatosporales; Streptomycetaceae. The record is from RNAcentral.